AACGAACGCUGGCGGCAUGCCUAACACAUGCAAGUCGAACGAGACCUUCGGGUCUAGUGGCGCACGGGUGCGUAACGCGUGGGAACCUGCCCUUAGGUUCGGAAUAACUCCCCGAAAGGGGUGCUAAUACCGGAUAAUGUCUUCGGACCAAAGAUUUAUCGCCUUUGGAUGGGCCCGCGUUGGAUUAGCUAGUUGGUAGGGUAAAAGCCUACCAAGGCGACGAUCCAUAGCUGGUCUGAGAGGAUGAUCAGCCACACUAGGACUGAGGCACGGCCCAGACUCCUACGGGAGGCAGCAGUGGGGAAUAUUGGACAAUGGGCGAAAGCCUGAUCCAGCAAUGCCGCGUGAGUGAUGAAGGCCUUAGGGUUGUAAAGCUCUUUUACCCGGGAUGAUAAUGACAGUACCGGGAGAAUAAGCGCCGGCUAACUCCGUG
RNAcentral lists this ribosomal RNA (433 nucleotides) under uncultured bacterium. Its description in RNAcentral is "partial 16S ribosomal RNA". It matches the Rfam family "Bacterial small subunit ribosomal RNA", at positions 29 to 507 of the family's 1533-position model. The record is from RNAcentral.